CAGAAGAGAGAGAGCACAGC
Molecule: microRNA, 20 nt
Filed under: Marchantia polymorpha subsp. ruderalis
Lineage: Eukaryota; Viridiplantae; Streptophyta; Marchantiopsida; Marchantiales; Marchantiaceae
Source: RNAcentral